Long non-coding RNA from Sycon ciliatum, 1023 nucleotides. RefSeq lists it as uncharacterized. The record is from RefSeq and is a predicted model, not a curated record. NCBI's taxonomy places the organism in Eukaryota, Metazoa, Porifera, Calcarea, Leucosolenida, Sycettidae. The transcript has 3 exons.
AGUGUAGUACCACUAGUGGUAGUCGUGUCCUGCACUCUUUGGCUCGGCUUUAGUCCCAGCUUGAGCAGUAGAGGUGAGGUCGUACUCCGACAAGACGUAGAUCUACGCACAUCGGCAAUGAAACUUCGAAAGCACGUAGAAUCUACCGAUAACCGUCGCUCUUCCGAAGCCAACCAAUGUUGCCGAGCGCCGCUCAUCGACGAGGGAAAUACGAACCGUCCACGAGGACGGUAGCGGCCUGGACGGACGUACAGGACGUCAGGAGGACAACUGCUGGCGAGCGCGAUCGGGCCGGCGGGUGAGCGGACACCAUUGGCCACCACAUCGGUAUCACAGACACACGCACGCUGGCUGCCGAACGCCCAAAACCACCUGGUGCCGUCAUGACCGCCGGGGCAAACGACGCAUCGACCAGUUUCUUCGACUUCUCUUUUGCUUCUUCUCCGAGAAGAACGCACCCUAAGGUUGACACAACGCAGACACUGAUCAUGUACGUAUUAUGACUUUAAUAUGAAGUUAUGUGCUUGUACAAGCCGAAAGCCAAACUCCUACAGUACUCCUCAUGCAUGACCUCAUGUAUGACCUCAUGCAUGACCUCAUGCAUGACAUUGUGAUGGACUACAUGUGAUGGACUACAUGAGUCGUGUGAAACAACUUGUUUUGUAGUCAACUAGUCCAUCACAAUGUCAUGCAUGAGGAGUACUGAAGGAGUUUGGCUUUCGGCUUGUACAAUUCGUUUUCGCAAAGCUUCCCCCUUCUUUACUUAUCUUUGCUAUUUAUGUGCUUGUCUUUUGUUUAUCGUUCUGCCCGCGCGGUCCAAACGACGUUACAUGCUGGCCCGCUGGCCCUGGAAUGAAUCAGCACCCGGGUUACGUUAACAUUAUUCAUUGACUGAGCGUUCUUUGCUUUGUACUACACCCUGCUUAUUUCCUACAAUAUUGUAUUGUUUCCAUUCGCUUCCAUGUAAUUGGGCGACACCGCCCGUUUGGUUCUGCGCAUUCAAAAUAAAAAUGUACCUACCUA